RNAcentral lists this long non-coding RNA (657 nucleotides) under Olea europaea (common olive). Its description in RNAcentral is "long non-coding RNA (OEUR_LNC005649)". Lineage: Eukaryota; Viridiplantae; Streptophyta; Magnoliopsida; Lamiales; Oleaceae. The record is from RNAcentral.
UUGGACGAAAUGUUUUCUUCCUAUGGUUUUCACAAGGGUUUUCUCUUUGAAAUUUGGCAAUCUUCUUCUUUAGUUGAAAUAAUUUUUUAUUCAGUUUAUAGAUUAGAAUCAGAGUUGUAUAUUGGAUUUUCUAUUUGCUGUAUUUAGUAUUUUAGGCUUCCAUUUGAGUUAGUAAAUCUGUACAGUAAGGCAAUGGGGCUUUUUUUUUUUUUUUUUUCCUUCCUCUGGUCCUUGUAUAGUAUAGGCUGAUUUUUGGGAGAUCCUUUUGGAUCGAUGACCGUGUGUAGUCUGAGUUUUGGUUGUAUUGAUCUUUAACUCUCUCUUGGAAGGUUCUUGCACAUAGUGUCCGGCUCCUUUACCCCUAAGCCCUUGAGAUUAGGCUUGACCGAAUUGGGUGAACAUUUCUGGUUUUGUUUCUAUUUUCGCACCAUGUGUUUAUGUUGUUUUUCUUGCUUGUUUUGUUCAUUUGGGUUAAAAUACCCAACAAUAGAGAUGCAUUUUACUAAUGUUGUUGUUCUUAAUUGAAUUCUUGUGUGAUUAAUAUUUAGUAAGGCUUAUCCAGAUUCACUUUGAAUUAAAAUCAGAUUUAUUAUAAUCUUUGUUUUCAUAGAUUUAUAAUUUUUAGUAUCAGAAUUAGAAUCAUUUUAAAUUGUUUUC